RNAcentral lists this ribosomal RNA (389 nucleotides) under uncultured bacterium. Its description in RNAcentral is "bacterial SSU rRNA". It matches the Rfam family "Bacterial small subunit ribosomal RNA", at positions 28 to 416 of the family's 1533-position model. The record is from RNAcentral.
GACGAACGCUGGCGGCGUGCUUAACACAUGCAAGUCGAGCGGUAAGGCCCUUUCGGGGGUACACGAGCGGCGAACGGGUGAGUAACACGUGGGUGACCUGCCCUCAGCUCUGGGAUAAGCCUGGGAAACCGGGUCUAAUACUGGAUAUGACUCCAUGACGCAUGUUGUGGGGUGGAAAGCCUUGUGCGGCUGAGGAUGGGCCCGCGGCCUAUCAGCUUGUUGGUGGGGUGANGGCCUACCAAGGCGACGACGGGUAGCCGGCCUGAGAGGGCGACCGGCCACACUGGGACUGAGACACGGCCCAGACUCCGUACGGGAGGCAGCAGUGGGGAAUCUUGCGCAAGUGGGCGAAAGCCUGACGCAGCGACGCCGCGUGAGGGAUGACGGCC